GACGAACGCUGGCGGCGUGCUUAACACAUGCAAGUCGAACGGUAAGGCCCUUCGGGGUACACGAGUGGCGAACGGGUGAGGAACACGUGGGUGAUCUGCCCUGCACUUCGGGCUAAGCCUGGGAAACUGGGUCUAAUACCGGAUAGGACCACUGCCUGCAUGGGUGGUGGUGGAAAGCUUUUGCGGGGUGGGAUGGGCCGGCGGCCUAUGAGCUUGUUGGUGCGGUGAAGGCCUACCAAGGCGACGACGGGUAGCCGGCCUGAGAGGGUGACCGGCCACACUGGGACUGAGAUACGGCCCAGACGCCUACGGGAGGCAGCAGUGGGGAAUAUUGCACAAUGGGCGCAAGCCUGAUGCAGCGACGCCGCGUGAGGGAUGACGGCCUUCGGGUUGUAAACCUCUUUCAGCACCGACGAAGCGCAAGUGACGGUAGGUGCAGAAGAAGGACCGGCCAACUACGUGCCAGCAGCCGCCGCAG
This 478-nucleotide ribosomal RNA is filed under the name uncultured bacterium. RNAcentral describes it as "partial 16S ribosomal RNA". It matches the Rfam family "Bacterial small subunit ribosomal RNA", at positions 28 to 523 of the family's 1533-position model. The record is from RNAcentral.